RNAcentral lists this ribosomal RNA (497 nucleotides) under uncultured bacterium. Its description in RNAcentral is "partial 16S ribosomal RNA". It matches the Rfam family "Bacterial small subunit ribosomal RNA", at positions 28 to 507 of the family's 1533-position model. The record is from RNAcentral.
GAUGAACGCUGGCGGCGUGCCUAAUACAUGCAAGUCGAGCGAACAGACGAGGAGCUUGCUCCUCUGACGUUAGCGGCGGACGGGUGAGUAACACGUGGAUAACCUACCUAUAAGACUGGGAUAACUUCGGGAAACCGGAGCUAAUACCGGAUAAUAUAUUGAACCGCAUGGUUCAAUAGUGAAAGACGGUUUUGCUGUCACUUAUAGAUGGAUCCGCGCCGCAUUAGCUAGUUGGUAAGGUAACGGCUUACCAAGGCAACGAUGCGUAGCCGACCUGAGAGGGUGAUCGGCCACACUGGAACUGAGACACGGUCCAGACUCCUACGGGAGGCAGCAGUGGGGAAUCUUGCGCAAUGGGCGAAAGCCUGACGGAGCAACGCCGCGUGAGUGAAGAAGGUCUUCGGAUUGUAAAACCCUUUUAUUAGGGAAGAAAAAAAGUGGAAGUAAAUAGUGCAGUUUUGACGGUACCCAAUCAAAAAGCCACGGCUAACUACGUG